Molecule: ribosomal RNA, 691 nt
Filed under: Nocardia sp.
Lineage: Bacteria; Bacillati; Actinomycetota; Actinomycetes; Mycobacteriales; Nocardiaceae
Description: bacterial SSU rRNA
Rfam family: Bacterial small subunit ribosomal RNA
Source: RNAcentral
GUGAGUAACACGUGGGUGAUCUGCCCUGUACUUCGGGAUAAGCCUGGGAAACUGGGUCUAAUACCGGAUAUGACCCUCGGCUGCAUGGUGUAGGGUGGAAAGAUUUAUCGGUACAGGAUGGGCCCGCGGCCUAUCAGCUUGUUGGUGGGGUAACGGCCUACCAAGGCGACGACGGGUAGCCGACCUGAGAGGGUGACCGGCCACACUGGGACUGAGACACGGCCCAGACUCCUACGGGAGGCAGCAGUGGGGAAUAUUGCACAAUGGGCGAAAGCCUGAUGCAGCGACGCCGCGUGGGGGAUGACGGCCUUCGGGUUGUAAACCCCUUUCGACAGGGACGAAGCGCAAGUGACGGUACCUGUAGAAGAAGCACCGGCCAACUACGUGCCAGCAGCCGCGGUAAUACGUAGGGUGCGAGCGUUGUCCGGAAUUACUGGGCGUAAAGAGCUUGUAGGCGGUCUGUCGCGUCUUCUGUGAAAACUUGGGGCUCAACCUUAAGCUUGCAGGGGAUACGGGCAGACUAGAGUACUUCAGGGGAGACUGGAAUUCCUGGUGUAGCGGUGAAAUGCGCAGAUAUCAGGAGGAACACCGGUGGCGAAGGCGGGUCUCUGGGAAGUAACUGACGCUGAGAAGCGAAAGCAUGGGUAGCAAACAGGAUUAGAUACCCUGGUAGUCCAUGCCGUAAACGGUG